RNAcentral lists this long non-coding RNA (1155 nucleotides) under Canis lupus familiaris (dog). Its description in RNAcentral is "lncRNA (ENSCAFG00040019651.1)". Lineage: Eukaryota; Metazoa; Chordata; Mammalia; Carnivora; Canidae. The record is from RNAcentral.
AUGCUAGACCCAAGCGCUGGGAGCAAGAUGCCCCCGUCUACCGUCCUCAUCCACGACCUCGGAUGCUCUGAGACCCCAGCAAGCCGGCUACUUAGGGGUCACAGUCAGGUCCAGGAGGCUCUGCUCUUGCAGCGAAGAGGGAGACCACGUAAAGGAAGCCAGGCCGGGCUGGCAAGCGGAGCAGCGGCGGGCGCCUCUGCGCUCCCGGGCCCGCCGCACCAGCGCCCCGGUUGCUUCUGGCCGCCGCCGCCGCACCGCCGCGGCCUCAAACCCGCCGCCUUCCGAGCCGCUGCCACCGAGGGAAACGCUCCUCCUUUUCAAGGGCACGGAGGAGGGAAGCUGGAAGGCCGCCAGCCCCGCCUCGACGGGGGCCCGGCGCAGGCAGCUCCCUCCCCGGCUCCGCAACGGGGCGCCCGCGCCCGGAACCAGCGCGCCCCGAGCCCCCGAGCGCCCCGGCCCGGCCCCUCCCCCGGCCGGAGCGGCUCCCCCCGCGGCUCCCCCGGCGGCUGCAUCCGCGGCUCCCCCCGCCGCCGGGCCCCGCUCGCGUCCCUUCCUGGCGCCCCUGCGGCCCCGGGCCCCGGGCCCCUUCCCCGUAACCGCCGCACCGGGCGGGGGGCCGGCCUCAACCGCGAUCCAACUCCGGGCGGCGCGGGGAGGAGCCUGCGGCCUCGCGCAGGGGCCGCGGGAGGGUCCGAGGCCCGCGCAGGCCCCGGGGGGACCCCGCUCCCGGCCGCCCGGCGCUCAGACGCCGCGGCCCGACACCCGCACCGGCUCCGCGGGGCCCGGAGGUCGCGGUCUGCGGCGGCCGCCCCUCCGGAGAAGCCGCGGGUCAGGGGUGAGAGGUCGGGGCCGCGGCCAGGGGCGGGCCGAGGAGGAGGAGGAGGAGGGGCCGGGACCCACCCGGGGCCAGAGGCCCGCGCCCGGCGCGCCCGCCUCACCCCCCGCCGCCGCCGCGGGCCCGCACUCACCGUGGCCCAGGAUCCGGCUGCGGCUAGGCCCCACUCCCCGCUCCGAGCGCCUCUUCCGCUUCCGGCUCGGCCUCCGCCGCGCGGCCCCGCCCCUCGCGUGACGCGGCGCUCGGCGGGCCCCGCCCGGCGGCCCGGCCUCUCUAGCCCGUCCGUCGGAGGCUCGGGGGGCGGGGACCGGCCUCUCUAG